Molecule: long non-coding RNA, 365 nt
Organism: Melanotaenia boesemani (Boeseman's rainbowfish)
Lineage: Eukaryota; Metazoa; Chordata; Actinopteri; Atheriniformes; Melanotaeniidae
Exons: 3
Source: RefSeq, a predicted model, not a curated record
GACAAACGAAACAACUGAAAUGAGGUUCCCUGUGCUACAUUUGAGUCUGAAGGGAAAGGUCACAUUGUCUACAGCUUCUUGAAUCUUUGUCUUUUAAUCUGACCUAUGAAAGAGACGACAGAAAGAGAGACAACAGGGCAGCUUAUUCUCUGAAUACUUGGCUUGCCUCUGAGGAGAAGAGAAGAGACGGAGCAGGUGAAGAAACAAGAAAACAUCAGUGAAGGAAAAUGAAGCAGCAGGGGAAUUUAAGUGUGCAUUCAGGCAACAGGAGCCUUCAUCAAGAGACAGCUGCGUCUCGGUUGGCGGUCUUCGUGACGAAGGAGGUUGACGUUGAGAUCUCCAGACUUGCUGAACUGCUUCUCCUC